GCGGUGUGCCUAAUACAUGCAAGUCGAACGCGUUGGCCCAAUUGAUUGAUGGUGCUUGCACCUGAUUGAUUUUGGUCGCCAACGAGUGGCGGACGGGUGAGUAACACGUAGGUAACCUGCCCAGAAGCGGGGGACAACAUUUGGAAACAGAUGCUAAUACCGCAUAACAACGUUGUUCGCAUGAACAACGCUUAAAAGAUGGCUUCUCGCUAUCACUUCUGGAUGGACCUGCGGUGCAUUAGCUUGUUGGUGGGGUAACGGCCUACCAAGGCGAUGAUGCAUAGCCGAGUUGAGAGACUGAUCGGCCACAAUGGGACUGAGACACGGCCCAUACUCCUACGGGAGGCAGCAGUAGGGAAUCUUCCACAAUGGGCGCAAGCCUGAUGGAGCAACACCGCGUGAGUGAAGAAGGGUUUCGGCUCGUAAAGCUCUGUUGUUAAAGAAGAACACGUAUGAGAGUAACUGUUCAUACGUUGACGGUAUUUAACCAGAAAGUCACGGCUAACUACGUGCCAGCAGCCGCGGUAAUACGUAGGUGGCAAGCGUUAUCCGGAUUUAUUUGGGCGUAAAGAGAGUGCAGGCGGUUUUCUAAGUCUGAUGUG
RNAcentral lists this ribosomal RNA (602 nucleotides) under Limosilactobacillus fermentum. RNAcentral's name for it is "bacterial SSU rRNA". It matches the Rfam family "Bacterial small subunit ribosomal RNA", at positions 39 to 596 of the family's 1533-position model. The record is from RNAcentral. Lineage: Bacteria; Bacillati; Bacillota; Bacilli; Lactobacillales; Lactobacillaceae.